CUGCCCCCACAAAUACACUAAAUAAAUAUAUGUAAAGUGCACCAGGAUGCAAAAGAAAAUAAUCUCUGCACUUUCCAUCAGUCCACACUGAAUUGAGGAGUACAUAA
Molecule: small nucleolar RNA, 107 nt
Filed under: Meriones unguiculatus (Mongolian gerbil)
Lineage: Eukaryota; Metazoa; Chordata; Mammalia; Rodentia; Muridae
Description: Small nucleolar RNA SNORA31 (ENSMUGG00000001697.1)
Source: RNAcentral